GCAGUUGUGGUUCAGUGGCAGAAUUCUCACCUACCACGAGGGCGACCUGGGUUUGAUUCCCGGCCAAAGCA
This 71-nucleotide transfer RNA is filed under the name Loxodonta africana (African savanna elephant). It matches the Rfam family "tRNA". From Rfam's summary of the family: Transfer RNA (tRNA) molecules are approximately 80 nucleotides in length. Their secondary structure includes four short double-helical elements and three loops (D, anti-codon, and T loops). Further hydrogen bonds mediate the characteristic L-shaped molecular structure. tRNAs have two regions of fundamental functional importance: the anti-codon, which is responsible for specific mRNA codon recognition, and the 3' end, to which the tRNAs corresponding amino acid is attached (by aminoacyl-tRNA synthetases). tRNAs cope with the degeneracy of the genetic code in two manners: having more than one tRNA (with a specific anti-codon) for a particular amino acid; and 'wobble' base-pairing, i.e. permitting non-standard base-pairing at the 3rd anti-codon position. The record is from Rfam by way of RNAcentral. Lineage: Eukaryota; Metazoa; Chordata; Mammalia; Proboscidea; Elephantidae.